RNAcentral lists this unclassified non-coding RNA (307 nucleotides) under Hevea brasiliensis (rubber tree). The record is from RNAcentral. Lineage: Eukaryota; Viridiplantae; Streptophyta; Magnoliopsida; Malpighiales; Euphorbiaceae.
AAUUCCAGGAAGCACAAGGUUAUGAUUGGAUUGGCUAGGAUUCCAAGCAAAAUGGAGCUUAGUGAUUUAAGGGAAAGGCAGAAUCGACGGAUUCCGUCGCCCAUGAUCCCGGCAGUAAGUUCUGGUGAAGCAUCGGGCGUCAGUAAUGGUGUAAGUAGUGGGAAGAGUCAUUGGAGGCUGCUCCGACUAUUCAGAUUUAGAUCCCAUGAUGUUGCCAGCAUGUUGCCCAAGACUUCUUGUAUUUCGCUAGCACGGCCUUGUAUUGACUAGAUUUUGCUCCCAUUUUUGUACCAUAUUAUACCCUUUC